This 123-nucleotide ribosomal RNA is filed under the name Clostridium botulinum. RNAcentral's name for it is "partial 23S ribosomal RNA". It matches the Rfam family "Bacterial large subunit ribosomal RNA", at positions 1 to 120 of the family's 2925-position model. The record is from RNAcentral. Lineage: Bacteria; Bacillati; Bacillota; Clostridia; Eubacteriales; Clostridiaceae.
AUAGGUCAAGCUACAAAGGGCGCAUGGUGAAUGCCUUGGCAUCAGGAGCCGAUGAAGGACGCGAUAAGCUGCGAUAAGCUUCGGGUAGACGCACAUAGUCAGAGAUCCGAAGAUUUCCGAAUG